Molecule: ribosomal RNA, 253 nt
Filed under: uncultured bacterium
Lineage: Bacteria
Description: partial 16S ribosomal RNA
Rfam family: Bacterial small subunit ribosomal RNA
Source: RNAcentral
UACGUAGGGAGCAAGCGUUGUUCGGAUUUACUGGGCGUAAAGGGCGCGUAGGCGGCGCGGUAAGUCACUUGUGAAAUCUCUGAGCUUAACUCAGAACGGCCAAGUGAUACUGCAGUGCUAGAGUGCAGAAGGGGCAAUCGGAAUUCUUGGUGUAGCGGUGAAAUGCGUAGAUAUCAAGUGGAACACCAGUGGCGAAGGCGAGUCCCUGGAAAACUCCUGACACUGAGGCACGAAAGCUAGGGGAGCAAACAGG